Non-coding RNA from Schistosoma haematobium, 121 nucleotides. The record is from Rfam. NCBI's taxonomy places the organism in Eukaryota, Metazoa, Platyhelminthes, Trematoda, Strigeidida, Schistosomatidae.
UGUCAAUGGAUGUCUCCUCAUUUGCGGAUAAAUCUUUCGCCUUUUACUAAAGAUUUCCAUGGGGGAGGCACAAUACAAUGAGUCUUAACUCAUUUUUUCCAACUCCGUCCUUGCACGGAGU